Molecule: transfer-messenger RNA, 373 nt
Filed under: Acidimicrobiales
Lineage: Bacteria; Bacillati; Actinomycetota; Acidimicrobiia
Also listed under: 1 other name
Description: JABDIY01 sp013003535 Standard tmRNA
Rfam family: transfer-messenger RNA
About the family: Bacterial tmRNA, also known as 10Sa RNA or SsrA, is named for its dual tRNA and mRNA-like properties. Its role is to liberate the mRNA from a stalled ribosome. To accomplish this part of the tmRNA is used as a reading frame that ends in a translation stop signal.
Source: RNAcentral
GGGGCUGAUCGGUUUCGACGUUGAGACCAGAAGCUGUCGGUGCGACUCGAGUUGCUCAGACUCGUAAAACGGGGCUCUUUAGAAGACGGCAACAAAACCGACUUCGCUCUUGCCGCUUAAUUUUUAAGCAGUACAGAGGAAAACUGCGAGCCGUGAGGCCACGCAGGGCCUGAUCACUACAGCCCGGUAACAGAAGUAGUGAUGGACGGUGGGAGAGACCACUGACGGACAGGAAAGACUUCUGACUCCAGGGAAAGCUCUGGCGGUUUAUAACCCGGUAGCCGGACAGCCGUAAGUCCGAAACACGGGAAUGGUCGUAGCGUUGGCAGUAACUGCUUAGCGGACGGGGGUUCGAUUCCCCCCAGCUCCACUC